CCCCUUCCUCUAAGGCAAUAAACAGCACUUUCUCUCUUUCCUCCCUCUUUUUUUUUUUUUUUUUUAGGAUGAAAGCCAGCGGUUCAUCCUCCUUUCUUUCAGAGCUGUGCUCCUAAAAGCAAAACAGCACUCAGGGCUGCUGGCUACAAAGCAGAAUGCAUGCACACAACUGGUGGGACUAAAGGAGCAGCGCCAAGGAAGCAUUUAUCUUCAUGUUAUCUCCUAAUUUAAGAUCCAUUCUGGCAAAACUUCACUUCUUCUGCUUAAGCUGCAAUGUCAAGCUGCAAAUAUUCAGCAGCUGAGGAGCCGUUUAAAAUCAUUUGCCUUGAAGGAGAGCUAAGCAAUGAUGGGAAACACAACUAUUCAUUUGGGAUAGGAGAGGGGAGCAGUGAGGUGAGAGGGAAUAAAAAAGAAAUCCAACAGAGAAAGCAAACUGAAUGGAGGGAUUAUCAGUUCCUUUGUGUGUGUUCAUCUAUUUUUGUCCUAGAAGAAACCUCCUUAACAUGGCUGUGUAUUCUUUCACACUGCUCUCCUUCCUUUGCGGGACUUACUGAAUCCAUCACAGCACCUGGUUUCUCCCUGAGUUGGAUGUGUUAUGCCUACAAGACAGGACAAACUUGGCAGCUGUUGCACUGAAAGCAGGAGGCGAGCAGCACAGCAGCAGAGCCGGAUACUUUGUAUGUCCAGGGGCACAUGAGGGAUGACAUUUAUUUCUUUCGCUUCGGAUUUUGCUGGCAAAGCUGACUGCUUUCUUUCGGCCUUGACUGGGACAUCCAGACAUCCAGUGGGAAACAUUUUUUUUUUCUUCCCUUUUGGAUUGUAAGCGUAUCCUUUCUCCUAACACUUCUGUUGCUCAUGUUCUUAUUUGGAGAAAGCUUUUCUUUUUUUUUUUUUUUUUCUGAGGCUAUGAGACAAAGGAAACAUUUGGCUGGAGCGAAGUGUUCUUAGAGCAGAAAGGAAGCAGAGUCUGAGGCACAGAACUUCAAACAUUUUUCCACUUGCAAAGCAGCACGUGGCCAGAAGGGAAAGACCACAUCCCAGCCCCACUGCAGCUGAUGGGAAACACGCCACCAACUUCCAUGGGAUGGGAGAGCCACCUGAGGAAUCCAAACUCACUGGCCUGCCCCCCAUAAUAAAGGCUACUGAUAAUGUGUUAUUAGUGUUGCUGUAGCAGCUCGCAGUCAAGGGGGAGGACGUCUUCUGUCCUUGCGGGCCAUGCAAGCCCAGAUCAAAGAGACGCUCCUUGCCCCACAGAUCUUGAAAUCAAAGUUUAUGGCUCACCCAAUGGCUUAUCGAGAAACCACAUGGGGAAGGCACCCCGGCCUUGCAGCUGUGCCCUACUACACUCCUAGCCAGGCACAGUAUUUGCAAAACAGCCAUGUGUCUAUGCCUACCUGUGCCAGUCCAAAUGUGUAAUGCUAGAACAGAGCACCACAAGCACUCUGAAUUUAGCAGCAUGUUCAGAAGAGAAAAAAAGUGCUCGCCAAAAGUUGGAAAGAUAAAAAAAAAAAAAUUCAAUAAUUUGGUGAUACAGCACCGGAUGAUUCAGCAUCAAGGGAAAUACCAUCAUUAUCUUUGGCAUCAGAACCUCUAAAUCUAAGCUGAGAUGCUGGAAAAAUAAAAGUUGUUGUAAUCAGAAUCACAAAAGAGAAAAGGCCUUUUAAACUUCAUUGAGAUGCAACUUGGCUGGAAAUAAAAAGAGCAGAACCCGAAAGAAAGAAAUUCAAAAGGGAAAAGCUUGAAGCAAAGUUCCUUCAAGCAUGGGUGGCCGGGGCCACGUGAGGAGAAAUACACAUGUAAACAGCUCUUCAUAAAGUCACAUACCUUACUCUUUUUCAAAGGUUUCAUCAGACUUUUUCUAUCAGGAGUGAUGGUUUCUCAGAGCAACAACAGGGCGCUGUGAACACAGAGUUGAGGGGAGAUGGUCCCAGAACAAAAAAAAUGUCCUGAUCUGCAGACUUGAGAAGGACCAGCAUGGUCAAAUGAAAUCUUGAAGAGGACUGCCAUUUCCAGUCAGCAUCCCCAUCUCAUACCAAGGGAUUAGAAAUCACUCUGUAUCUUUUGUCUCAGUAAUUCAUUCAUUGAAUUUAGUAAUGAUGAACUCUCAGAGAGUAAUCCCAUUUCUCCUGGAGAAACAGGAUUCUCCUAGAGAAAUAGGAUUAAACAUAAUUCCCAGUAUGAAACCAUGGCUGCUUAGGUGGGUAAUGGCUCUGUACAUCAAAGGAGAAACAAGAAUCUCCUUACACAGGCAGUUCCCAGACUCUGGGGUGUUGCCUGCAUGCAGCCGUUCCUGGCAACAGCAGCAACAGCACUGGGUGCUGGCCAUAGAAAUUGUUCUAAUGUCUGGGCAAUGGACUUCAAUGACUUUCUCUCCUUUUCUUUUCCUCUUUUUCUCUUUCCUUUUUCUUUUUCCCUUUCCCUUUCCCCUUUUUCUCAUGGUGAAAAAGAGAUGGUGGGAGGCCAAGGGUGGAUCCUGUCACCCAUUCCCAGAGUGUAAGAUGCAGCAGGUCAGUAGAAACAGUGCUGGUGUGAAGAGCAUUUGGGUUCUGUGCUCUCUGCAAGAUCUUUAGGACAAGGAGCAAAACGUUUCCAGUCAGGUUGGCAACUGCAAGCAGGAAGACCAUGACAUGGGUCUGUUUAGGAAGGCUUCUGAGUUCAUGGAGUUUGCAGGCAAAUCUGACAUAGCCACCGGUUUCAUGGGGAAGAUGUGUGUACAAGAAACUAAAGUGUGGGAGUCGUGUCGCUGAGGGAAAGAAUGACUGCAGAGGGGCUUGCGGGAACAUCUGCAAAGCAUCUUCAUGACGAGUGGCACACACCCAUGCCUUCCACAGCUGAAGUUGCCUCACAGUCAUUUUCUCCCAUCUGCUAUGAGCUUUAUCUCAAGUCUCUCAGGGGUCAGUGGAGAAUAUCAUAAUGACCUCUGAAUCAGGGUUGGUGUGCACCAGCCUCUGUGGAGCAUAGAAUCAUCGAAUGGCUUGGGUUGGAAGGGACUCCAAGGAUCAUCAAGCUCCAACCCCCCCGCCACAUGCAGGGCCACCAACCUCCAUUUCUAAUAUUAGACCAGGCUGCCCAGGGCCUUGAACACCUCCAGGGAUGGGGCAUCCACAACCUCUCUAGGCAAAGCACAGGAACUCUGAUUCGUGAUAAAUAAGAUGCAAUCUUUUUGUCUUUCCCCACUUCAUCCUGUGUAAUUCCUUCUCCCUUAUUGUGGGACAAGUUGAUUUAAUUACACCAUCCUGGGGACAUCAACCUUUUCCAUUCCCAAGGUGGGCUCUUGGUAAUGUAAGUGCAGCUACACAGGGUCAGACUUAAGGAUUAUCUGCCUGGUAACCUCCAGAAUGACGAGGAGCAGAUGCUUAGACAUGUCAGAUGUGGUACCUCCUCCGCUUUUCUGUGUGUGGGAUCUUCCUGAGCAAUCCUGAAGCACCAUUUUUACUACCACAAAUACAGUCAGGUAUGACUUCAAUAAGCCCAUGUAAACUUCCAUCGCAAUAAUUUGCUAAUGAAUUCUGUAAAUGUAUUUACUUUAUAUAUGUAUACAUAUAUAUAUAUAUAAAGCAUAUAUAUACUCCCUCCCCUUGCCUUGAAAAUGCAUCUAAAAGAUUGUAUCAGAGGAGCAUUUCUUCAGCUGUUCAAGUCUGCCCAUGCAACGGCACCUCUGCCUCAUUCCCUCCCAUAUCUCCCUGCCUGUCUUUUACUUGGUGGUUCUGAUUUAUGAAGCAGCUCUGGGGUUGCUUCUUUCAGAUCAUACAGCUUACAGCACCGUGAAGGUCAGACAACGACAGGAGCCAUAAAGCUGACCACAAAGGUUCUGCACUGUCGGUGCUGGGAGCCUGCAGCACCUGCAGAGUCUGUCUCUUCCACAGCAACCCCUCCAAUUGGCUGCUGGGCUCCUGUUUCUUAACAGCAAAAUCAGCAGCCCCCAGCUGCUAGCAGAUGACUCAAAUUUUUGGGAAAUAAAUAAAUAAAUGAAUAAAUAAAUAAAACAAAAAAAGAGAUGAAUAACAUAAAAAAAAAUAAUAACAAUAAUCCCAAGCAGCAUUAUAAAAAUAACUCAAAAAAAAAAAAAAAAAAAAAAAGAAGAAGAAAAAAGGAAAGGAAAGGAAAAUCAGUCCAUAACAGCUGUGCUUUGACUCAGUGUCUGACUCCUGCUUCCAGUGGGACCUUGCCCAGAAUCUAGUGAUGGUCUACACUGGUCUUCCCCUUACCCCACCCCACUCCUCCCUGUCAGCUCAUCGGGCCCUUGAAUGCAAUCACCAUCAUCUAUUUGGCUUGCUUACAUCAUGAAGAUGUCAGCCGACCCCCUCAUUUCAAAUUUGGAAUCAAAUAUAAAGCCACAUUUCAGUCAGUCAAGGGACAGGAGCAUGUUGGCUGGCAAAGAGGAAAGAGCAGGAAAAGCCCGAGGGAGAGGAGGUGGGAGUUCAGAGGGUUCAGGAGGGUCACAGACAUUUUGAAUGGCUGUUUUCCUCCUCCCUGCAGCAUCGCUCAGCUCAGCAUGGGAUGGAAACAUAGCAGGGAGUUGGCUGUGCUCCUGCUCCUACCAUUCACUCUCUUCAGCUGGGAUUACAAGAGCUGAGGAAAAGCAGAUCUCAGUCAGGCAAUAUGUAUAGAGAAGCUUUCCUUCUUCAGGCUCUUCCUUACUGGCUUUUUUUGCCUGUCCAAUAUCUGUGUUUAUUUAUUUACUUUUGUGAGAAUCCUUCUCCCUGACUGUCACUGCACCUCGUACCUCUCAGUCAGAGAAACCCAUAUCACUGAAAUAGAAAAUCCCAUUUCUACUGGGUUAGUAGUGUCACUCUUGUUAAUGAAUUUUUACUAUUUUUGGUCUAAGUUUAUGAAUUUGAGGGAAAGUCUGUAAUAUUAACUUGUGGGUUCCCUCCUCUUUCAUUUUGAAUUUCAAUAUUUUCCUCAAAAAUUCUGAACGGAGGAGUUCUCUGGCCCCACAUCUCCCUCUCUUUUGUAAUCACUUCCCACAGCUGCUGCUGUGGUGGAGAUUUACAAUCAUGAAGUUCUGAAAAAAACUUUGCCCUGCCCAGCCAAACAGGACCAGCAAACACAUCCUACAUGGGAAUUCCUCCCUGACACACUUCCUUGUGGACACUGGAAUUUGAAUGCUGUCCUCAAAGGGCAGCCCAACACUGGUCUCACUGGUUUCUUUGGGAGCAGAGCUGAAACACUUAGGAAAAUUCCUUCCUUCAGCUCCAAGAGCAGACUUUGUCCAGUUCUAUUGGGCGGGUCCCAAACAUGACAAUUUAAUUAGGAGGUCUAGACCCUGCAUGCUUAUGCUCACUCUGAAGUGCCAAUUCCAGAUAUCCAGCGGGGCCAAGAGCAAGUUUGACUAUCAAAGCCACGUAAGCUUUUUGACAUACUGUGCUAAGGUAGCCAAGUGGAAAAAGUAGGCUGCCUGUCUAGUCUCAAACACAGACAGUAGCCACAUUCUUGUAGGGAGCCCAGAACAUGUUCGAGAAAUGCAGGGAGUUUAAAUGAAAACCUGUUGCUGUCCCAAAAUGGAGCUGUUUGACUUGGAAUGGAAAGCUUAGUCAUCUGUCCUGCAGGGGUUUGCCCAGCUCCCUUGGUCUCUCCAUCUGUCUGAUUUACUUCUUCAUUUUUUCCAUUCCCUUUGCUACCUUGUUCUUCGGGGUCUCAGCCAUGAAAGUGCUCUCUUUCUAUGGCGAUGUCACCAGUUACACAACGCCCAGUGUAUUUCCUCUCAGUUUUGGAAGAAGGCAUCGGGGGAAUGAUGCAUUACAACGGCAUUCUUAUACCCGCAUGUCAUAUGGAAAUGUUUAGGAAGAAAAUAAUUUGCAAGUAGCCCAGUUGUCGUUGGUUAUGCUACAGAACCAGCAUCAGUUCUCCCUCCCACUUUGCUAACAACUCCUGUUGCACUGGGUUCCUAUAAUUAGGAGAUAAUUGUAGGCUCUCAGUGACCUCCUUUGUGUUUCAGGGGAUAUCAUCUAGUCUAUAAGUUAUAUUCCUAUUUCAUCAAGUAAUAAGGUAAGCAUUAGGAGGCUGAAGUUCUUGGCAGAGGUCUAUAUCCUACCAGCUCUUAUGUUUGGCUGCUAUAUGCGACUCAUUACAUGGAGGUGGGUAGGUGACAUCAUCACUAAAGGGAAACACAUGAUAAAGUGAGGGUUCAAGGAUUUAAAAUUCAGCUAAUAAAAUAUCCAGACAAAGAGGAUUAGCUCUGUUUGCAG
Long non-coding RNA from Gallus gallus (chicken), 6191 nucleotides. The record is from Ensembl. Lineage: Eukaryota; Metazoa; Chordata; Aves; Galliformes; Phasianidae.